Molecule: ribosomal RNA, 477 nt
Filed under: uncultured bacterium
Lineage: Bacteria
Description: partial 16S ribosomal RNA
Rfam family: Bacterial small subunit ribosomal RNA
Source: RNAcentral
GAUGAACGCUGGCGGCGUGCUUAACACAUGCAAGUCGAACGAGAAGUGAAGACGGAAACCUUCGGGCGGAAGGCUUUAUUUCGAGUGGCGGACGGGUGAGUAACGCGUGGGUACCCUGCCUCAUACAGGGGGAUAACAGUUGGAAACGACUGUUAAUACCGCAUAAGACCACAGCACCGCAUGGUGCGGGGGUAAAAACUCCGGUGGUAUGAGAUGGACCCGCGUUCGAUUAGCCAGUUGGCGGGGUAACGGCCCACCAAAGCGACGAUCGAUAGCCGAUCUGAGAGGAUGACCGGCCACAUUGGGACUGAGACACGGCCCAAACUCCUACGGGAGGCAGCAGUGGGGAAUAUUGCAAAAUGGGGGAAACCCUGAUGCAGAGACGCCGCGUGAGUGAAGAAGUAUUUCGGUAUGUAAAGCUCUAUCAGCAGGGAAGAAAAUGACGGUACCUGAGUAAGAAGCCCCGGCUAACUACGU